RNA transcript from Elephantulus edwardii (Cape elephant shrew), 1143 nucleotides. It is a transcript of the gene named mitochondrial fission regulator 1-like, with no coding region annotated. The record is from RefSeq and is a predicted model, not a curated record. The transcript has a single exon. NCBI's taxonomy places the organism in Eukaryota, Metazoa, Chordata, Mammalia, Macroscelidea, Macroscelididae.
GGGAUGGAAGCCAAUGUGACCAUUCCAAUCUAGCAAAAUAAGCCUCAUGGGACAGCUCACACAGUGGUGAGUAGGAUUGGAACCAACCUUCCCCUGAAGCCAUGUCCCCGGGCAUCAUUUGAGGCCCUACCAAAUAUCUCUGACCUGUGUCUGAGGGAUGUGCCCACGGUUCCCACCCUGGCUGACAUCGCCUGGAUUGCUGCGGAUGAAGAGGAGACCUAUGCCCGGGUCAGGAGCGAUACACGACCCCUGAGGCAUACCUGGAAGCCCAGCCCUCUGAUUGUUAUGCAGCGCUUUGCAUCAGUGCCCAACCUGCGUGGGUCUGAGGAGAGACUCCUGGCUCUGAAGAAACCAGGUCUCCCAGCCCUGAGUCGCACGACAGAGCUGUAGGAUGAGCUGAGCCACCUGCUCAGUCAGAUUGCCAAGAUCAUGGCAGCUGAUGCAGCUUCGGCUUCAUUGACGCCAGAUUUCUUACCUCCAGGAAGUUCAAAUAUCUCUUCUCCCUUACCUUGUUUUGGAUACUCAUUCCACUCUACAACUUCCUUUGUCAUUAGUGACAUCAAGGAGGAGACUGAGGUAGAAGUCCCUGAGCUUCCAUCAGUCCCCCUGCUUUGUUCUGCCAGCCCUGAAUGUUGCAAAACAGAAAACAAAGCCACGUGCAGGUCGUCUGAAGAGGAUGACUGCAUCUCUGUCCAAGGCCAACAGCUUUGCAGACAUAAUGGGUAUCAUGAAGGAUUUUCACCGGAUGAAACAGAGCCAAGAUUUGAACCGGAGUUUAUUGAAGGAGGGAGACCCUGCCGUCCUUAUCUCUGAGGUCCUGAGGAGCAAGUUUGCCCUGAAGGAAGAAGACAUCACUAGAAAAGGACACUGAUAACCUCCAGCUCUGUGGACUCAGUUUCAUGCUCCUGAAAUCCCUUCAGUAGCUGCCUUCCUCACUGCAGAUGUUUCUGCCUCUCAGAAAUCUUCUGGAACAGUCUUGCCAACAAGCUAGAGCAUGGACUGAGAAAACAGGAGUUGGGUUGUUUCCUACACUUCAAACCUUAGCAGAAGCUAAGGUCUUAUUUUGAGCUGAUAUACUUAUUACAGGUAAUUAUGUAGCUUGGAGUGUCUCAGUUUAAAGGGUGAAAUAUAAGUGUCUGGUUC